Molecule: ribosomal RNA, 253 nt
Filed under: uncultured bacterium
Lineage: Bacteria
Description: partial 16S ribosomal RNA
Rfam family: Bacterial small subunit ribosomal RNA
Source: RNAcentral
UACAGAGGGUGCGAGCGUUAAUCGGAAUUACUGGGCGUAAAGCGCGCGUAGACGGUUUUGUAAGUCAGAUGUGAAAUCCCUGGGCUCAACCUGGGAACUGCAUUUGAUACUGCAUGGCUAGAGUAUCGAAGAGGGAAGUGGAAUUUCCGGUGUAGCGGUGAAAUGCGUAGAUAUCGGGAGGAACACCAGUGGCGAAGGCGGCGAUCUGGGAAGAUACUGACGCUGAGGUGCGAAAGCGUGGGGAGCAAACAGG